This 253-nucleotide ribosomal RNA is filed under the name uncultured bacterium. RNAcentral describes it as "partial 16S ribosomal RNA". It matches the Rfam family "Bacterial small subunit ribosomal RNA", at positions 524 to 776 of the family's 1533-position model. The record is from RNAcentral.
UACGGAGGAUCCAAGCGUUAUCCGGAAUCAUUGGGUUUAAAGGGUCCGUAGGCGGUUUUGUAAGUCAGUGGUGAAAGCCCAUCGCUCAACGGUGGAACGGCCAUUGAUACUGCAAGACUUGAAUUAUUGGGAAGUAACUAGAAUAUGUAGUGUAGCGGUGAAGCGCUUAGAGAUUACAUGGAAUACCAAUUGCGAAGGCAGGUUACUACUAAUGGAUUGACGCUGAUGGACGAAAGCGUGGGUAGCGAACAGG